AAAGCAAGUUUGCACUAUGAGGUCGGAGUCAUCAAAAAGGGAUAUACGCUUAAUGACGUGGCAACUUAGAGCUCACAAAUGAAAGAGUACAGGAUCCAGAGAAGGAUUGACGGGUAAACACGUGCAGGAAUGUGUCGCUAGCUCCUUCUGCUUCUUGCCCAAUAAAAUCUUUCAUUUCUUCCUCCCUU
This is a non-coding RNA of Caenorhabditis elegans, 188 nucleotides long. The record is from Ensembl. Lineage: Eukaryota; Metazoa; Nematoda; Chromadorea; Rhabditida; Rhabditidae.